Austrofundulus limnaeus is the source of this 695-nucleotide long non-coding RNA. RefSeq lists it as uncharacterized. NCBI's taxonomy places the organism in Eukaryota, Metazoa, Chordata, Actinopteri, Cyprinodontiformes, Rivulidae. The record is from RefSeq and is a predicted model, not a curated record. The transcript is spliced from 2 exons.
AACAACCAGGUCACAUGAUCAAAAACAACCAGGUCACAUGAUUAAACAACAACCAGGUCGCAUGAUUAAACAACAACCAGGUCACAUGAUCAAAAACAACCAGGUCACAUGAUUAAACAACAACCAGGUCGCAUGAUUAAACAACAACCAGGUCACAUGAUCAAAAACAACCAGGUCACAUGAUCAAAAACAACCAGGUCACAUGAUUAAACAACAACUAGGUCGCAUGAUUAAACAACAAUCAGGUCGCAUGAUUAAACAACAACCAGGUCACGUGAUUAAACAACAACCAGGUCACAUGAUCAAAAACAACCCGGUCACAUGAUCAAAAACAACCAGGUCACAUGAUCAAAAACAACCAGGCCACAUGGUCAAACAACAACCAGGUCACAUGAUCAAAAACAACCCGGUCACAUGAUCAACAACAACCAGGUCACAUGAUCAAAAACAACCAGGCCACAUGGUCAAACAACAACCAGGUCACAUGAUCAAAAACAACCAGGUCACGUGAUAAAAAUAAAACCAGGCCACGUGAUAAAAAAAACCAGGUCACGUGAUCAAAAACAACCAGGUCACAUGAUAAAAAUAAAACCAGGUCACAUGAUCAAAAACAGCCAGGUCACAUGGUCAAAAACAACCAGGUCACAUGAUCACAAACAACCAGGUCAAGUGAUCAAAAACAACCAGGUCACAUG